RNAcentral lists this ribosomal RNA (789 nucleotides) under Staphylococcus aureus. RNAcentral's name for it is "partial 23S ribosomal RNA". It matches the Rfam family "Bacterial large subunit ribosomal RNA", at positions 376 to 1167 of the family's 2925-position model. The record is from RNAcentral. Lineage: Bacteria; Bacillati; Bacillota; Bacilli; Caryophanales; Staphylococcaceae.
UAGUCGAAAAUGUUGUCUCUCUUGAGUGGAUCCUGAGUACGACGGAGCACGUGAAAUUCCGUCGGAAUCUGGGAGGACCAUCUCCUAAGGCUAAAUACUCUCUAGUGACCGAUAGUGAACCAGUACCGUGAGGGAAAGGUGAAAAGCACCCCGGAAGGGGAGUGAAAUAGAACCUGAAACCGUGUGCUUACAAGUAGUCAGAGCCCGUUAAUGGGUGAUGGCGUGCCUUUUGUAGAAUGAACCGGCGAGUUACGAUUUGAUGCAAGGUUAAGCAGUAAAUGUGGAGCCGUAGCGAAAGCGAGUCUGAAUAGGGCGUUUAGUAUUUGGUCGUAGACCCGAAACCAGGUGAUCUACCCUUGGUCAGGUUGAAGUUCAGGUAACACUGAAUGGAGGACCGAACCGACUUACGUUGAAAAGUGAGCGGAUGAACUGAGGGUAGCGGAGAAAUUCCAAUCGAACCUGGAGAUAGCUGGUUCUCUCCGAAAUAGCUUUAGGGCUAGCCUCAAGUGAUGAUUAUUGGAGGUAGAGCACUGUUUGGACGAGGGGCCCCUCUCGGGUUACCGAAUUCAGACAAACUCCGAAUGCCAAUUAAUUUAACUUGGGAGUCAGAACAUGGGUGAUAAGGUCCGUGUUCGAAAGGGAAACAGCCCAGACCACCAGCUAAGGUCCCAAAAUAUAUGUUAAGUGGAAAAGGAUGUGGCGUUGCCCAGACAACUAGGAUGUUGGCUUAGAAGCAGCCAUCAUUUAAAGAGUGCGUAAUAGCUCACUAGUCGAGUGACACUGCGCCGA